UCCUACGGGGGGCAGCAGUGAGGAAUCUUGGGCAAUGGAGGAAACUCUGACGCAGCCACGCCGCGUGCCGGAAGACGGCCCUAUGGGUUGUAAACGGCUUUUGAUUGGGAAGAACUGUUCCGUUUCGACGGGACUUGACGGUACCAUUUGAAUAAGCACCGGCUAACUCCGUGCCAGCAGCCGCGGUAAUACGGAGGGUGCAAGCGUUGUCCGGAAUCAUUGGGUGUAAAGGGUGGGUAGGCUGGCAUUUAAGUCUGGGGUGAAAUCUUGCCGCUUAACGGUAAAAUUGCCCUGGAUACUGGAUGUCUUGAAUCUGACAGAGGUCGGUGGAAUUCGUGGUGUAGCGGUGAAAUGCAUAGAUAUCACGAAGAACACCAGUGGAGAAGGCGGCCGGCUGGGUCAGUAUUGACGCUGAGGCAAGAGAGGGUGGGGAGCGAACAGGAUUAGAUCCCCUGGUAGUCCACGCUGUAAACGAUGUAUGCUAGUUGUUGGGCUUUCGGGCUCAGUGACGCAGUUAACGCAGUAAGCAUACCACCUGG
RNAcentral lists this ribosomal RNA (539 nucleotides) under uncultured Gracilimonas sp. RNAcentral describes it as "bacterial SSU rRNA". It matches the Rfam family "Bacterial small subunit ribosomal RNA", at positions 337 to 876 of the family's 1533-position model. The record is from RNAcentral. Lineage: Bacteria; Pseudomonadati; Balneolota; Balneolia; Balneolales; Balneolaceae.